GAUUCGCUAAUAUUCAAGCAGUCUAUCAGUUUUUGACUAUUAGAAUAUAAAUGAUUGUAAGAAUGUACCGUAAAUCUAUACGGAUAUCCUUCAACUGCUCCUCGAAAUCCUUUUUGCCCCAACCGGUAGGUCUCUAGACAUUACAGAGAACUCUGAACAACCCAAUCUGCUAAUCUUUGAUACCGCUUUAUACUCACGACCUUGUAUCCACUGACUGUCUUGUUACAUUAACCCAAAAAUUUUCAUUCACUCCACAUACUCAAUCCUAUAGACACCCUUUUAAUUCUUCAAUCAUAGACAUAACUUUGAUUUCACAAAAUAAUCAAGAGUAAUCACACCCACUUCAUUAAAACCCCGAUUCACCAGUACAAUACAUCGACCUUUCAGCAUUCAUCGCCAGAAG
This 403-nucleotide long non-coding RNA is filed under the name Physcomitrium patens. RNAcentral's name for it is "long non-coding RNA (PPAT_LNC003493)". Lineage: Eukaryota; Viridiplantae; Streptophyta; Bryopsida; Funariales; Funariaceae. The record is from RNAcentral.